UACGUAGGCAGCAAGCGUUGUUCGGAAUUACUGGGCGUAAAGAGUUCGUAGGCGGUGCGGCAAGUUCGGUGUGAAAUCUCCCGGCUCAACUGGGAGGGUGCGCUAAAUACUGCCGUGCUCGAGUAUAGGAGAGGUAAGCGGAAUUCCUGGUGUAGCGGUGAAAUGCGUAGAUAUCAGGAGGAACACCUGUGGUGUAGACGGCUUACUGGACUAUAACUGACGCUGAGGAACGAAAGCGUGGGUAGCAAACAGG
This 253-nucleotide ribosomal RNA is filed under the name uncultured bacterium. Its description in RNAcentral is "partial 16S ribosomal RNA". It matches the Rfam family "Bacterial small subunit ribosomal RNA", at positions 524 to 776 of the family's 1533-position model. The record is from RNAcentral. RNAcentral also lists the same sequence under 2 other names.